Stegostoma tigrinum is the source of this 901-nucleotide long non-coding RNA. RefSeq lists it as uncharacterized. The record is from RefSeq and is a predicted model, not a curated record. The transcript is spliced from 3 exons. Lineage: Eukaryota; Metazoa; Chordata; Chondrichthyes; Orectolobiformes; Stegostomatidae.
UUACGAGGAAGACAUUGAUGGAAUUGAGUGUGUCCUGUUUUUUUUGUCUGAGGUUCUGGCGGUACCAACGGAGAAGUGGAGCGGAGAGUUGAAAUGGAAUCGAUUAAUUCAUUGAAACGCCUCCUCCAUCGCUCACUUUGACGCACAUCGGGACGAGGCGAGAGGCUGCGAACCUUCAGAUCAGACGCGCUUGGGAACAGGCACGAACGUCACUGCGAACGCCAACAUGCUCAGUGGGAGGAGCAGAGCUGCUGUGAAAUGUGCUCAAGGCAGAGUGGGCCGGAGAAUGGGAGGAGGACGGACGUGUCGACCACCCCGCGGCCUCUUCAAAUCGCCUCUCUUGAACAGUGACUAAUGUUAAUGACGACGUGUGUGUAAGACGCGGAAACUCGGAUGUGGGCAUCACUAGCAAGCUCAGCAUUUGUACCAGUUUCCAAUUGUCCUUGAGCUGGACAGCUUGCUAGGCCACUUCAGAGGGCAGUUAAGAGUCAAUCACACUGUGGACCGGGAGUCACAUGCAGGUCAGACCAGGACCUGGGAAUUACAGACAAUUGUUGCCUGUCCCCAGUCGACCUGGAACUGAACGGACAGUUCAGAGACAUCCACAUGUUGAUUUUAAAUCAUGAUAGCUUCUCUUCGCGAAAGGACAGCAGUAGUGGACCCUAACGGAUUCUGGUGAUGUAUGAUAAUAGCUGUCGACAUUACAUACUAGAUUUGUUAACAAUCUGCCAUUGCUGAUUUAAACUCAUGUCCAUGAAAGUAUUAGCCUAGGGUCAAUCUGUGGAUUAUUAGCCCAGGGUCAUUAUCACUCGCCAGGUAAGUACAACAAGAAAAAAAUGUUCUAGGCAUUUUACUAGGAUUAAUACCUUAUCACAUCUCAAAUGGUUUUUUAAAACUGGUU